RNAcentral lists this ribosomal RNA (344 nucleotides) under uncultured bacterium. RNAcentral describes it as "bacterial SSU rRNA". It matches the Rfam family "Bacterial small subunit ribosomal RNA", at positions 572 to 916 of the family's 1533-position model. The record is from RNAcentral.
CAGGCGGUUUGUUAAGCGAGAUGUGAAAGCCCCGGGCUCAACCUGGGAACUGCAUUUCGAACUGGCAAACUAGAGUGUGAUAGAGGGUGGUAGAAUUUCAGGUGUAGCGGUGAAAUGCGUAGAGAUCUGAAGGAAUACCGAUGGCGAAGGCAGCCACCUGGGUCAACACUGACGCUCAUGUACGAAAGCGUGGGGAGCAAACAGGAUUAGAUACCCUGGUAGUCCACGCCGUAAACGAUGUCUACUAGAAGCUCGGAGCCUCGGCUCUGUUUUUCAAAGCUAACGCAUUAAGUAGACCGCCUGGGGAGUACGGCCGCAAGGUUAAAACUCAAAUGAAUUGACGG